GUUCAACACUGGUUCUGUUACGAUCACCGAAGUUAAGCAACGUCGAACCUGGUCAGUAUCUAGAUAGGUGACUGCUUGGGAAUACCAGGUGCUGUAA
Non-coding RNA from Acanthosepion pharaonis, 97 nucleotides. The record is from the annotation of a GenBank genome assembly. NCBI's taxonomy places the organism in Eukaryota, Metazoa, Mollusca, Cephalopoda, Sepiida, Sepiidae.